Long non-coding RNA from Rhipicephalus sanguineus (brown dog tick), 175 nucleotides. RefSeq lists it as uncharacterized. The record is from RefSeq and is a predicted model, not a curated record. NCBI's taxonomy places the organism in Eukaryota, Metazoa, Arthropoda, Arachnida, Ixodida, Ixodidae. The transcript is spliced from 3 exons.
AGUAGCCUAAAUCUAUAUAUCCUUGAUCUUGAUAACGCAGAUGGUGUACAGAAAGUACGCAUGGUGUAUCAAAAUACGUCCUGUGCGGUUUUGAAAUGUGAGUUUUGGUGGUUUUGGUCUGCCCAGGGAAAACUGGAAUUCGAGAAGAAGGUUCAGGAAGACAAAGGUACGUAAA